Molecule: ribosomal RNA, 253 nt
Filed under: uncultured bacterium
Lineage: Bacteria
Description: partial 16S ribosomal RNA
Rfam family: Bacterial small subunit ribosomal RNA
Source: RNAcentral
UACGUAGGGUGCGAGCGUUGUCCGGAAUUAUUGGGCGUAAAGAGCUUGUAGGCGGUUUGUCGCGUCUGCCGUGAAAAUCCGGGGCUCAACCCCGGACUUGCGGUGGGUACGGGCAGACUAGAGUGCGGUAGGGGAGACUGGAAUUCCUGGUGUAGCGGUGAAAUACGCAGAUAUCAGGAGGAACACCGGUGGCGAAGGCGGGUCUCUGGGCCGUAACUGACGCUGAGGAGCGAAAGCAUGGGGAGCGAACAGG